UAGGGAAUCUUCCACAAUGGGCGAAAGCCUGAUGGAGCAACGCCGCGUGUGUGAUGAAGGGUUUCGGCUCGUAAAACACUGUUGUUAAAGAAGAACAUAUCUGAGAGUAACUGUUCAGGUAUUGACGGUAUUUAACCAGAAAGCCACGGCUAACUACGUGCAG
This 163-nucleotide ribosomal RNA is filed under the name uncultured bacterium. RNAcentral describes it as "partial 16S rRNA". It matches the Rfam family "Bacterial small subunit ribosomal RNA", at positions 355 to 510 of the family's 1533-position model. The record is from RNAcentral.